UACGGAGGGUGCGAGCGUUGUUCGGAAUCACUGGGCGUAAAGGGCGCGCAGGCGGUCUUAUAAGUCAGAUGUGAAAGCCCACGGCUUAACUGUGGAAGAGCAUUUGAAACUGCAAGACUUGAGUACCAGAGGGGAAAGUGGAAUUCCCGGUGUAGAGGUGAAAUUCGUAGAUAUCGGGAGGAAUACCGGUGGCGAAGGCGACUUUCUGGCUGGAUACUGACGCUGAGGCGCGAAAGCGUGGGGAGCAAACAGG
Molecule: ribosomal RNA, 253 nt
Filed under: uncultured bacterium
Lineage: Bacteria
Description: partial 16S ribosomal RNA
Rfam family: Bacterial small subunit ribosomal RNA
Source: RNAcentral